GUACAGUUGUGAGUGACCCACAAAAGAUUUAUGAUGAGAUUGGGCUAUGGAAUGGUGGAUGGAAACUGCAAGUUAAACUGUGGCAGACAGGGGGCGUUACUCAUCAUUUACCACACAGUUUUUUUAUUGGUACGGACAGAGGCAUUUGCUAUUAUCCAGGACAGCCUAGAAGCUGUUAUAAAUGUGGGUCAAUAAGGCAUUUGGCCUAUUGCUGUGAUAAAAUAAAGUGCUCUCAAUGUAACUGUCUGGGCCAUAUGAGAUCAGAAUGCAAGCAGGACGUAAUAUGCAACUUAUGUUCUGUACAAGGUCAUACCUUUAGAGAGUGCCCAGAAGCACACCAUAAUAAGAUAAACGACUGUGUGCUAGAUUUGGAAAGCAUACUUACUGAAGCAAUGGAAGAGCCCAAUACAACUGAGAAACAAGAUACAAAUGAGCCACAGAAAGAUGACAUUACUGAGCCAGAAAACAUCUUAAGGAAAGACGCCAAGGAAAUACAAUCUCCAUUAAAUGUUGAAAAGGGUCCAAUAUUAGAAA
This is a non-coding RNA of Pelobates cultripes (western spadefoot toad), 534 nucleotides long. Lineage: Eukaryota; Metazoa; Chordata; Amphibia; Anura; Pelobatidae. The record is from the annotation of a GenBank genome assembly.